RNAcentral lists this long non-coding RNA (336 nucleotides) under Ananas comosus (pineapple). RNAcentral describes it as "long non-coding RNA (ACOM_LNC035233)". The record is from RNAcentral. Lineage: Eukaryota; Viridiplantae; Streptophyta; Magnoliopsida; Poales; Bromeliaceae.
UUCAUAUUUAACUAAUCAUAUAAAGAUAUUUAUCUCUCCUAUCAUCUUUCCUAAUCCAAAUCAGAUUUUUCUUAAAAGCCAAUUAUUACUCAUCUUUCCUAACCCAAAUCAAAUUUUCUUAAAAGCCAAUUAUUAUUGCAUUUGCCUAUGGAUAUCCAAAAUUGUCACGCCAUCAAAGAAUUAGUACGGAAUGCAAAGAAACGGAAAAAAAAGUAUGAAGGAGUAUAUGAGAGUCAAACAAAUAAAUUUUAAAAUAAUAAUAGUUAGUUUUUAACUACCGUUAAAUUGUAAAUGCCUACUUUUCAUACAUCUAUAAGCCAACAACCUAUAUACUAU